GGGUGUAUAGCUCAGAGGUAGAGUGCAUGCUUAGCAUGCAUGAGGUCCUGAGUUCAAACCCUAGUACCUCUA
RNAcentral lists this transfer RNA (72 nucleotides) under Camelus bactrianus (Bactrian camel). It matches the Rfam family "tRNA". From Rfam's summary of the family: Transfer RNA (tRNA) molecules are approximately 80 nucleotides in length. The record is from Rfam by way of RNAcentral. Lineage: Eukaryota; Metazoa; Chordata; Mammalia; Artiodactyla; Camelidae. RNAcentral also lists the same sequence under 2 other names.